GUGCCAGCCGCCGCGGUAACACGUAGGGGGCAAGCGUUGUCCGGAAUCACUGGGCGUAAAGGGUACGCAGGCGGUCCAGCAAGUCAGAGGUGAAAGCCAUCGACUUAACCGAUGAAGUGCCUUUGAAACUGUUGGACUUGAGGACAGGAGAGGAAAGCGGAAUUCCCGGUGUAGUGGUGAAAUACGUAGAGAUCGGGAAGAAUACCAAUGGCGAAGGCAGCUUUCUGGCCUGUUCCUGACGCUGAGGUACGAAAGCCAGGUUAGCAAACGGGAUUAGAAACCCCAGUAGUCC
This 292-nucleotide ribosomal RNA is filed under the name uncultured bacterium. RNAcentral's name for it is "partial 16S ribosomal RNA". It matches the Rfam family "Bacterial small subunit ribosomal RNA", at positions 505 to 796 of the family's 1533-position model. The record is from RNAcentral.